Molecule: ribosomal RNA, 538 nt
Filed under: Acallophilus sp. ARC5105
Lineage: Eukaryota; Metazoa; Arthropoda; Insecta; Coleoptera; Curculionidae
Description: partial 16S large subunit ribosomal RNA
Rfam family: Bacterial large subunit ribosomal RNA
Source: RNAcentral
GGCCUAUUGAUAAUGAUUUUAGGUCUGACCUGCCCAAUGAUUAAAAAUUGAAUGGCCGCGGUAAUUUGACCGUGCAAAGGUAGCAUAAUCAUUAGUUUUUUAAUUGAAAGCUUGUAUGAAAGGUUUAAUGAAAAAAUAGCUGUCUCUAUUUAAAUUAAUUAGAAUUUUAUUUUUGAGUAAAAAAGCUCAAAUUUUAAUUGAAGACGAGAAGACCCUAUAGAGUUUUAUAGUUAAAAAUAUAAGAAAAUAGUAGAAUUUCAAUUUUUUAUAUUUUUGGUUAUUUGAUUGGGGUGAUAAAAAAAUUGAAUUAACUUUUUUUAUAAGGAAACAUUAGUUUAUGAAAAAUUGAUCCUUUAUUUAAGAUUAAAAGAUAAAAUUACCUUAGGGAUAACAGCGUAAUUUUUUUUUAGAGUUCAAAUUAAAAAAAAAGAUUGCGACCUCGAUGUUGGAUUAAAAGGAAUUAUUGGUGUAGAAGCUAAUAAAUUAGGUCUGUUCGACCUUUAAAAAUUUACAUGAUCUGAGUUUAAACCGGUGUGAG